Molecule: transfer RNA, 73 nt
Filed under: Otolemur garnettii (small-eared galago)
Lineage: Eukaryota; Metazoa; Chordata; Mammalia; Primates; Galagidae
Rfam family: tRNA
About the family: Transfer RNA (tRNA) molecules are approximately 80 nucleotides in length. Their secondary structure includes four short double-helical elements and three loops (D, anti-codon, and T loops).
Source: Rfam by way of RNAcentral
GUGCCUGUGGCUCAAAGAGUAGGGCGCUGGCCCCAUAUGCCAGAGGUGGUGGGUUCAAACCCAGCCCUGGCCA